AUUGAACGCUGGCGGCAUGCCUAACACAUGCAAGUCGAACGGCAGCACAGCAGUAGCAAUACUGUGGGUGGCGAGUGGCGGACGGGUGAGGAAUACGUCGGAAUCUGCCCAGUCGUGGGGGAUAACUAGCCGAAAGGUUAGCUAAUACCGCAUACGACCGAGAGGUGAAAGCGGGGGACCGCAAGGCCUCGCGCGAUUGGAUGAGCCGACGUCGGAUUAGCUAGUUGGCGGGUAAAGGCCCACCAAGGCGACGAUCCGUAGCUGGUCUGAGAGGAUGAUCAGCCACACUGGAACUGAGACACGGUCCAGACUCCUACGGGAGGCAGCAGUGGGGAAUAUUGGACAAUGGGCGCAAGCCUGAUCCAGCAAUGCCGCGUGUGUGAAGAAGGCCUUCGGGUUGUAAAGCACUUUAUCUAGGAACGAAAGACGUUGGAUUAAUACUCUGACGUGCUGACGGUACCUGAGGAAUAAGCACCGGCUAACUUCGUGCCAG
RNAcentral lists this ribosomal RNA (493 nucleotides) under uncultured bacterium. RNAcentral's name for it is "bacterial SSU rRNA". It matches the Rfam family "Bacterial small subunit ribosomal RNA", at positions 30 to 511 of the family's 1533-position model. The record is from RNAcentral.